Molecule: ribosomal RNA, 306 nt
Filed under: uncultured bacterium
Lineage: Bacteria
Description: bacterial SSU rRNA
Rfam family: Bacterial small subunit ribosomal RNA
Source: RNAcentral
GAUGAACGCUAGCGGCAGGCUUAACACAUGCAAGUCGUGGGGCAGCGCGGACUUCGGUCUGGCGGCGACCGGCAAACGGGUGCGGAACACGUACGCAACCUCCCUCAGAGCGGGAAUAGCCUCUCGAAAGAGAGAUUAAUACCCCAUAGUAUCUUGAAGACACAUGUCUAUGAGAUUAAAGCUUCGGCACUUUGAGAUGGGCGUGCGGCUGAUUAGGUAGUUGGUAGGUAACGGCCUACCAAGCCGACGAUCAGUAGCUGAUGUGAGAGCAUGAUCAGCCACACGGGCACUGAGACACGGGCCCGA